Non-coding RNA from Lactuca sativa (garden lettuce), 1276 nucleotides. Lineage: Eukaryota; Viridiplantae; Streptophyta; Magnoliopsida; Asterales; Asteraceae. The record is from RefSeq and is a predicted model, not a curated record.
UCUACACAUGCAGAUGGAGACCAUCACACACCUUCUACAUCUAUUCUCUAAAAUGGUAAAUUCUAUUUUAUUUAUGGCGGCUUAUCCCCUGUAUUUUUGUUUCUAUGACAAUAAGGGUAUUUCUGAUUGGUUGUCGAUACCUUGUUUCCCUUCGGUUAAUUUCUGUAUUUUGGUGUUGAAAAUUUUCGAAGUAGUUAUCCCUUGCUUUACAAGAAUCGAUUAGGGCUUCAAUUUGGUUUUGAAAUUGAAAAGGUUAAACCGUUAUCCUAGAUUUUGUGUAAAACGGUGUCUUGAGAUUGCCUUCUUGCUUUCUGGUUGCACCCGACAGAUGAAGAACUUGUGGUACGAUACUUUGAGGUGCAUCUUCCCUGAGGUCGAUGCUAAUAAUUCUGAUCCUUGGGAGUUACCAGAUUCAUGCCGCCUAUAUUAAAUAACCUGUCCAAGAACUUUUAAUGUCUUUAAAUUUCAACUUCUAUCAGGUUCUAAUCGAAUUUUUUUCCCUAUUUUUUGCUGUCUAAUAUAUUUCAUAGCUUUGUUGUCCUAGGUAUACUAUCUAUUUUAAUCUUAUGCUCUAUAUUUAGAGGAAAGUGGAAAGUAGGAGAGCUUGAGAAUUAAGAAGAGAAUUUUGUAUACUUAUUGUGGAAUUUUAUAAUGAGAUUGGCGCGUGAAGUUUAAUCUCCAGUCAUGGAGAGGCGGGGUGUAAAUUCCACUCUCUCACUCACUCACUCUCUCUCUCUCUCUCUCUCUCUCUCUCUCUAGGGCUUCUUAUUAAAGAUAUACCAGUAAACUGGAAGUGAAUGACGAUGAUUGUGGUGGGUGACGAUGUUGAUUAGCUAAUGAUGUUGAGCAAGGUGACGGGAAAAUCGAUAUUUGGGGAUGAUGUCUCCAAGCUCUCUAUUCCACCGCUUCCCUCUUUUCCCUCUUCACUCUCCACUGACUCUCUUUUUGUUUCGAUGAAUAACCAUCAGAAAAAUCACGACGUCACGACAUUUAAUUUCCACGAUGACUCAAGUUUCUACAAUAAGCUCCAUUUUCGGUGUAGAGCUGUUCCAUUUAUAAGAACUUAACCAAACAAAUUGCAGAAAUAACCCUUCAAUUAUGGAAGGAGUUAUGCAAAUCCCAAGGAAGAAACUUUCACCAUUUACAAUAAUUCUUGAGUGCAAGUAUUACACUGUCCUUAUUCUGUAGAAGAAAAUAGUUGUGCUAGAAUAUCUUUUAUUAAAUUUUAUUUGUUGAAUUUACACUUUAAUUGUAUUGAAGAUAUUUUACGUCUAAA